UUAUUCGAAUCCGCAAUUUUUAAUUUUAAAAAUGUCUACGAAAAAUUAAACAUAUUUCAUGCAAAAAUUCAUUAAUAACACCCACAUCAGAGAGCACUGAAAUAUGUUUUCAAUAAUGGCUGAUUGUUAUGAUUAGUUAAUUACAAUAAGUACUCCGUUUUAACCUACAAGUACAUAAGAACUACAGCACCCCAGGAGUUGCCAAUUAAUUGAUGGAAUAAAUAAUUCCUUAAAGUUACAGACGCUAGAAUUUACUUAGAGUUUCAAUAAAUAAACUAAAAUGUCAGGAAUUAAAUUAAACUCAUCAUCGAACAUCCCUAGUAAAUAUCUUCCAUCUGUCGUACUCCAACGACUUGACAUUCCAAAGGACAGUCCUGUAUAUGUUAUUAACACAGAAACUUCUGAAAAAGAAAAAUCAAAUAUAACACAAUCGAAACAGAACUUUUGUGAUCGUAACUGCAAAGAUUUGACACCAAAUCAUGAAGCUCGUCACAAAAUUCUUAGUAUCGAGUAUAUUUGUCAACGUUGCCAUCAAUCAUUUGAAACAACCGAAUUACAUAGUCAGCACGUACUAAACCAUUAUUCCAGAAAAGAACGAAAAAGCUCCGAAAGUUCUGACUCUAGAUCUUAAGUAAGCCACUCGAAACGACAUACCAAGACUCACGUCGCCAGUUAUCCUUGCAAUUCAUGCUGUCAAUUUUGUGAAAUACUCAACUAUUAGCUUAUUUAAAUAAUCAUCAUAAUUGAAAUCAAUCAGGACGAUAAACAGAUCUAAAUUCUUCAUAUCAACAUGCCAGAAUAUUGAGACGAUUUACAUUUUAUCUUGACUGUUAUAUCAUAAGAUAAUUGACCGCAAAAGUUUACAAUAGAGGAAGCACUGGCUCUAUUACCUCAUAUUUAUAUUUGUUAUGGUGAUGCUCAUAAGUAUGUUGAACUCACUAACCUACAAGAUAAAGCUGUGCACAAUAAAUAGGAGUAUUUGUCAAUAAACUUGACUUG
RNAcentral lists this long non-coding RNA (999 nucleotides) under Cotesia glomerata. RNAcentral describes it as "uncharacterized LOC123265808, transcript variant X1". Lineage: Eukaryota; Metazoa; Arthropoda; Insecta; Hymenoptera; Braconidae. The record is from RNAcentral.